GCGCACGCUGGCGGCAGGCUUAACCCAUGCAAGUCGAGCGGGCAUCCUUGUGGUGUCCGCGGCAGACGGGUGAGUAACGCGUGGGAACGUGCCCUUCGGUUCGGAAUAACUCAGGGAAACUUGAGCUAAUACCGGAUACGUGCGAGAGCAGAAAGGUUUAUCUGCCGAAGGAUCGGCCCGCGUCUGAUUAGCUAGUUGGUGAGGUUACGGCUCACCAAGGCGACGAUCAGUAGCUGGUCUGAGAGGAUGAUCAGCCACACUGGAACUGAGACACGGCCCAGACUCCUACGGGAGGCAGCAGUGGGGAAUAUUGGACAAUGGGGGCAACCCUGAUCCAGCCAUGCCGCGUGAGUGAUGACGGCCUUAGGGUUGUAAAGCUCUUUUCUCCGGGACGAUAAUGACGGUACCGGAGGAAUAAGCCCCGGCUAACUUCGUG
Molecule: ribosomal RNA, 436 nt
Filed under: uncultured bacterium
Lineage: Bacteria
Description: partial 16S ribosomal RNA
Rfam family: Bacterial small subunit ribosomal RNA
Source: RNAcentral